Molecule: ribosomal RNA, 297 nt
Filed under: uncultured eukaryote
Lineage: Eukaryota
Description: partial 18S ribosomal RNA
Rfam family: Eukaryotic small subunit ribosomal RNA
Source: RNAcentral
CCCUUAGACGCUCUAGGCGGCACGCGCGCUACAAUGGGUGGUAGAACAUGUAACUGCUCCCGAAAGGGAGGGUGAACCACGAAUACUUACCCGUGAAUGGGAUAGUUUGUUGCAAUUUUCGGACUUGAACUAGGAAUCCCUUGUAAGAAUGCUCAAGAAUAGCGUGCUGAAUACGUCCCUGCCGUUUGUACACACCGCCCGUCGUUUCUUCCGACUGAUACUCAUUGUGAGUUGCAAGGAUUCUUAUUGAAAAAUUGCUGCGAAUGCUUUGUAUUGGAGGAAGAAAAAGUCGUAACA